CCUUAUUUAUGAAGUAUAAAAACAAAAAGGUCCCUUGUCCUUGACAUUAGAAUUAGACAAAUAACUAAGAAACUGCCAUUCAAACAAAAACACAAACUACACAUCUCAGUAAAACCAAGUAUUUUCCAAGUAAGGAUGCAUUCACAAUGAAUCACUUAACAGGAGAAAAAUCGGAUUGGACAGACAGGAAAAAAUAGCUCACAUUCCAAUCAUAAUGUUACAUGGAAACAUACAGAGAUCGGUUUCUCAUGGCAAAAAGACAGUUAUGUGAUUUAGUUCAUAAAUUAAUGCCUUAUCUCAGAGAUGAUCAUGGGGUUGUUUACACUCACCACACCAUGCACAUCAAAGGACCAAAAACAUGGUGUUCACACUGACACACCAUGCACAUCAAAGGACCAAAAACAUGGUGUUCACACUGACACACCAUGCAUAUCAAUGGACCAAAAACACAGUUUUCACAGUGACCACACCAUACACAUCAAUGGACCAAACAUGUUGUUCAAAGUGACCACACCAUGCAUGUCAAUGGACCAAACACAUGUUGUUCACAGUGACCACACCAUGCAUGUCAAUGGACCAAACACAUGUUGUUCACAGUGACCACACCAUGCAUGUCAAUGGACCAAACACAUGGUUUUCACAGUGACGGCUAGGCUACAUGUGUCGUUGUAGUAACUAAAAGAUUAAGCAGUAAUGUCAUUCUUUAGAUGUAUGGUUAGACCCAUUCCAAAUUGAGGGAAACGACCUACCGUGAACCUCAAGCUACAACAGGGUUUCCUAACCCCCUCCAACAGCUCUUUAUUCCACAGAUACAUCGCUAAUAUAAUUUGCAUAGAAGGAACGAACACAUCUGCUCAUUUACAGUGGUUCUUCUGCAUUUUUUGGAUGGUUGCCUAAAGAGGCCGCUCAACAAGCGUCUCAGUGAACCUAUUUCCACUCUUUAGUCGGUGGGCGCUGUGUAGUCGAGAUACUUUCAUUCACACAUCAACAUGAUAGUAGUCACGGAUACAUCCAAGUAAAUGCCAAAAGAAAAUGUUUAACAAACAGCAAAGCAGCAACCACUCUCAUUUGUUUCAUUUAUUUGACGUGAUUAAAUAAGCAGAAGUUGGCUAGCAAGGGACAAGGGUCUCAUCGUCAGUCUUCACAGAACCUACAAAUAGUCUUUUUACAUAUCAGUGAUGCAAAAAGAUGACUGAGCCUGUGGCAGCAUGACAAGAGAAAAGCGGUUUCAGGUUUACUUUGAGAUUUGUCCCAAAAUUGUUAUCCACCCAAAAAGGGCUGGUCAGCAAAUAGGGCUGGUCAGCUCUAUUUAUAAGCUAAGAAUUAACGUGGCACACCUAAUUCAAUUACUCAACUAAAUGUCAAGCACUUGACUAAUUGAUUAAGGUAUGCCAGUUUAGGGUUACAUUAAAAAAAGUAAAACAUCUGUGGGCCAGAGGAGAGGGUCAGGAAAUCCCUGGUCUACUCAGAGAUCUGUUGAACCUCUAUCAAAAAAAACAACAAAGAAUAAUCACAAGGGCAAAAAAAAGAUUAAUCAAAAGUGCAAAGGUUGAUAUUAAAGCUGAUUUGCAUGUUAAAAACUUGGAUAUUUAGGCGUUUCGAAGAGUGGUACGGUACUAUUCACAAAGACAAGUUCCAGAAAACCACACCCCAGAAAAUGUGUGGGAUGCAUCUCCACAAUCAGUAAAAUUGGAUGUGGAGGGAGAAAGGAGAACAGAGCCCAUGGACCAAUGGCUCAUUAGCACUCAGGUCUGACCAUGCAUAGGACACCUGGCUACAGGUUACCGGAACCAGCCAAGCGAGGUUGGUUUGGAUUAAAACAGCCUUCUACAACUGAGGAUGCACAUUGCAGCUCAACGAGCGGCACAAAAACGUUCUUUAAAACGAGUCUGACCUAAAACAACAGGAAAGAGCGAUGCAGAGUUGAGCGUUUUCUUUCUGGAACAGAGCACAUAUACUGUACAUCACACUAGACUCCCAGCUCCCAGCGGGGACUUCAAUAUAGAACACAUCCCUUCUUCCCCUCCUCCUCUCCCUCGCUUCCUGUCCCCUGCACCCUCCUCUGCGGCUGUGUUCUGAC
This is a long non-coding RNA of Esox lucius (northern pike), 2080 nucleotides long. NCBI's taxonomy places the organism in Eukaryota, Metazoa, Chordata, Actinopteri, Esociformes, Esocidae. The record is from Ensembl.